This 253-nucleotide ribosomal RNA is filed under the name uncultured bacterium. Its description in RNAcentral is "partial 16S ribosomal RNA". It matches the Rfam family "Bacterial small subunit ribosomal RNA", at positions 524 to 776 of the family's 1533-position model. RNAcentral also lists the same sequence under 1 other name. The record is from RNAcentral.
UACAGAGGGUGCAAGCGUUAAUCGGAAUUACUGGGCGUAAAGCGAGCGUAGGUGGCUUGAUAAGUCAGAUGUGAAAUCCCCGGGCUUAACCUGGGAACUGCAUCUGAAACUGUUAGGCUAGAGUAGGUGAGAGGGAAGUAGAAUUUCAGGUGUAGCGGUGAAAUGCGUAGAGAUCUGAAGGAAUACCGAUGGCGAAGGCAGCUUCCUGGCAUCAUACUGACACUGAGGCUCGAAAGCGUGGGUAGCAAACAGG